AUUGAACGCUGGCGGCAGGCCUAACACAUGCAAGUCGAACGGUAGCACAGGAGAGCUUGCUCUCUGGGUGACGAGUGGCGGACGGGUGAGUAAUGCAUGGGGAGCUGCCCAAUCGAGGGGGAUACCAGCUGGAAACGGCUGCUAAUACCGCAUACGCCCUGAGGGGGAAAGGUGGGGACCUUCGGGCCUACCGCGAUUGGAUGCACCCAUGUGGGAUUAGCUAGUUGGUGAGGUAACGGCUCACCAAGGCGACGAUCUCUAGCUGGUCUGAGAGGAUGACCAGCCACACUGGAACUGAGACACGGUCCAGACUCGUGAUGCU
This 322-nucleotide ribosomal RNA is filed under the name uncultured bacterium. Its description in RNAcentral is "bacterial SSU rRNA". It matches the Rfam family "Bacterial small subunit ribosomal RNA", at positions 30 to 350 of the family's 1533-position model. The record is from RNAcentral.